UGAGUACGAGAUGCUACGGCAUCGAAGCAGUCUAUGUCAUACUUCCAAGAAAAGCUCGCACUGUCAAAAACAAAUUAAUGCCUGUACCAUAACCGACACAGGUGGGUAGGUAGAGUAUACUAAGGGGCGCGAGAUAACUCUCUCUAAGGAACUCGGCAAAAUAACUCCGUAACUUCGGGAGAAGGAGUGCCUUUUUAAGGCUGCAAUAACCAGAUCCAAGCAACUGUUUAUCAAAAACACAGGUCUCCGCUAAGUCGUAAGACGAUGUAUGGGGGCUGACGCCUGCCCAGUGCCAGAAGGUUAAAGAAGUUGGUUAGCCCUGCGAAGCUGAUGACUGAAGCCCUGGUGAAUGGCGGCCGUAACUAUAACGGUCCUAAGGUAGCGAAAUUCCUUGUCGGGUAAGUUCCGACCCGCACGAAAGGCGUAAUGAUUUGGAUACUGUCUCGGAGAGGGACUCGGUGAAAUAGACUUGUCUGUGAAGAUGCGGACUACCUGCACCAGGACAGAAAGACCCUAUGAAGCUUUACUGUAACUUGAGAUUGAAAUUGGACUUUAUUUGCGCAGUAUAGGUGGGAGGCGUUGAAAAUAUUCUUGCGGGAAUAUCGGAGCCAUCAGUGAGAUACCACUCUUGUAAUGUUAGAUUUCUAACUUUGUAUCAUUAUCUGGUCAAAGAACAGUCUCAGGCGGGCAGUUUGACUGGGGCGGUCGCCUCCCAAAUGGUAACGGAGGCGCACAAAGGUUUCCUCUGAACGGGUAGAAAUCGUAUCUAGGGUGUAAAGGCAUAAGGAAGCUUGACUGUGAGACUUACAAGUCGAGCAGGGACGAAAGUCGGUCUUAGUGAUCUGACGGUGCUGAGUGGAAAGGCCGUCACUCAACGGAUAAAAGUUACUCUAGGAUAACAGGCUGAUCUCCCCCAAGAGUUCACAUCGACGGGGAGGUUUGGCACCUCGAUGUCGGCUCAUCGCAUCCUGGGGCGGUAGUACGUCCCAAGGGUUGGGCUGUUCGCCCAUGAAAGCGGUACGCGAGCUGGGUUCAGAACGUCGUGAGACAGUUCGGUCCAUAUCCGGUGUAGGCGUUAGAAUAUUGAGAGGAGCCUUCUUUAGUACGAGAGGACCGAGAAGGACAUACCUCUGGUGUACCAGUUAUCGUGCCAACGGUAAACGCUGGGUAGCUAUGUAUGGAGUGGAUAACCGCUGAAAGCAUCUAAGUGGGAAGCCCACCUCAAGAUAAG
RNAcentral lists this ribosomal RNA (1231 nucleotides) under metagenome. RNAcentral describes it as "bacterial LSU rRNA". It matches the Rfam family "Bacterial large subunit ribosomal RNA", at positions 1564 to 2808 of the family's 2925-position model. The record is from RNAcentral.